UUCUCAAAGAGGCAAAGGAAAGACAUGCAAUAAAAGACGUUAAAGAUGCCAUUAUUAAAGAUUUUAGAGCCGCAGAAACUGAAAAGGAGGAAAGAAAAAAGAAGGUAGACAAACUUGAGGAAGCCAUCGAGAUAAAACUAAAGAAGAAAACCUAAAAGAGGGGACCAAACCCCUUGAGAAGGAACUACCAAAGCCCAGAGAAGAAGAGUCUAAAAGGGAGGAAAGAACCCAAGAAACGGUCCAAAGAGGAGGCAGAAGUCAAGAAACCAUCUAAAGACAAGAAAGAAGUCAAGAAAUCUCUCAAAGAAGUCAAGAAACCCCUCAAAGAAGAGAAAGAAGUCAAGAAAUCAUCUAAAGACAAGAAAGAAGUUAAGAAACCUCUCAAAGAAGUCAAGAAAUCCCUCAAGGAAGAGAAAGAAGUCAAGAAACCUCUCAAAGAAGAGAAAGAAGUCAAGAAACCUAUUAAAGAAGAGAAAGAAGUCAAGAAAUCAUCCAAAGACAAGAAAGAAGUCAAGAAACCUCUCAAAGAAGAGAAAGAAGUCAAGAAACAUCUCAAAGAAGACAAAGAAGUCAAGAAAUCUCUCAAAGAAGAGAAAGAAGUCAAGAAACAUCUCAAAGAAGACAAAGAAGUCAAGAAAUCUCUCAAAGAAGACAAAGAAGUCAAGAAACCUAUUAAAGAAGAGAAAGAAGUCAAGAAAUCAUCUAAAGACAAGAAAGAAGUCAAGAAACCUCUCAAAGAAGAGAAAGAAGUCAAGAAAUCAUCUGAAGAAGACACAGAAGUCAAGAAACUUCUUAAAGAAAAGAUGGAAGUCAAGAAACUUCUCAAAGAAGACAAAGAAGUCAAGAUAUCAUCUAAAGAUGAGAAAGAAGUCAAGAAACCACUUAAAGAAAAGAUAGAAAUCAAGAAACCACUUAAAGAAAAGAUAGAAAUCAAGAAACCCCUCAAGGAAGACAAAGAAGUCAAGAAAUCUCUCAAAGAAGAGAAAGGAGUCAAGAAAUCAUCUAAAGACGAGAAAGAGGUCAAGAAACUUCUCAAAGAAGACAAGGAAGUCAAGAAACCAUCUAAAGACGAGAAAGAGGUAAAGAAACAUCUCAAAGAAGACACAGAAGUCAAGAAAUCUCUCAAAGAAGUCAAGAAACCCCACAAAGAAGAGAAAGAAGUCAAGAAACCUCUCAAAGAAGAGAAAGAAGUCAAGAAACCUCUCAAAGAAGAGAAAGAAGUCAAGAAAUCAUCUGAAGAAGACAAAGAAGUCAAGAAACCUCUUAAAGAAAAGAUAGAAGUCAAGAAACUUCUCAAAGAAGACAAAGAAGUCAAGAAACCCCUCAAAGAUGAGAAAGAAGUCAAGAAACCACUUAAAGAAAAGAUAGAAAUCAAGAAACCCCUCAAAGAAGACAAAAAAGUCAAGAAACCUCUCAAAGAAGAGAAAGAAGUCAAGAAACUUCUGAAAGAAGACAAAGAAGUCAAGAAAUCAUCUAAAGACGAGAAAGAAGUCAAGAAACUCCUCAAAGAAGAGAAAGACGUCAAGAAACCUCUCAAAAGACAAGAUGUCAAGAAACUUCUCAAAGAAGACAAAGAAGUCAAGAAAUCAUCUAAAGACGAGAAAGAGGUCAAGAAACCACUUAAAGAAAAGAUAGAAGUCAAGAAACUCCUCAAAGAAGUCAAGAAAUCAUCUAAAGAUGAGAAAGAGGUCAAGAAUCUUCUCAAAGAAGACACGGAAGUCAAGAAACCAUCUAAAGACGAGAAAGAGGUCAAGAAACCUCUCAAAGAAGAGAAAGAAGUCAAGAAAUCAUCUAAAGAUGAGAAAGAGGUCAAGAAUCUUCUCAAAGAAGAGAAAGAAGUCAAGAAAUCAUCCAAAGACAAGAAAGAGGUGAAGAAACAUCUCAAAGAAGACAAAGAAGUCAAGAAACCUCUCAAAGUAGAGAAAGAGGUCAGGAAACCUGUCAAAGAAGACAAAGAAGUCAAGAAACCUCUCAAAGAAGAGAAAGAAGUCAAAAAAACUCUCAAUGAAGAGAAAGAAAUCAAGAAACUUUUCAAAGACGAGAAAGAAGGCAAGAAACCCCUCAAAGAAGAGAAAGAAGUCAAGAAACCUCUCAAAGAAGAGAAAGAGGUCAAGAAACAUCUUAAAGAAGAUAAAGAAGUUAAGAAACUUUUUAAAGAAAAGAUAGAAGUCAAGAAACCCCUCAAAGAAGAGAAAGAAGUCAAGAAACCUCUUAAAGAGAUGAAACCGGCCAAAAAAGAUACAGGAGAGAGAGACCCUUCAAAAGACGAGAAAGACGAGAAGAAACCACUUGGGGAAGAAAGAGAAGACAAUAAACAUCAUAAAGAAGAGAAAGUAAUGAAAACAACUCUUAAAGAAGAGAAGAAACAAGAAAGGAAGUCUCUGGAAGAGAAAAAAGCACCCACAGAAGGGGUAGACUUGAAACCAUCUAAGGAAGAGAAACAAAUGAAAAAGCCUCAAGAGGAGAAAGUAGAAAAAGAGAUGAAGCCUAAAGAACUGAAGGAAGUAAGUAACUAUUCUAAGGAAAGGAAAGAAGAGAGGAAACCCUCUAGGGAGGAAAAGGAAAAAAGGGAGCCACCAAAGGCAGAGAAAGAAAUUAGGAAACCCUUAGAAGAAAAGAAAGAAGUAAAGCCUCCAACAAAAGAAAUUGAAGACAAGAAGCCUUCUGAGGAAGAGAAGGAAGUGAAAACGCCUCCUGUGAAGGAAAAAGAAGUUACGAAGCCUUCUAAAGAAGGGACAGAAAUGAAGAAGUCUGCUGUCGAGAUUUUUUUCUUUACGAAGACUAUAAAGGAAGGAAAAGAGCUGAAGAAACCGUCUGUGGAGGAAACAACUAACAAAAAGGAGAAAGAACUGUCUAAAGAAGAGAAAGAAUCAAUAAAGCCCAAAGAAGUAAAAGAGGUCAAAAAGCAUCUCAAAGAAGAGAAGGAUGAACUACUGCCUCCAAAAGAAGAAAGAGAACAAAGGAAGCCUUCAAAAGGAGAGAGAGAACCAGAAAAAACAUCUAAAGAGGUCAAAGAAGUUAAAAAUCUUAAGUUAAAAAAAAAGGAAAAGCCAGCAAGUCCUUCCAAAGAAAGAUCAGUACCAAAGAAGCCCUCUGAAGAAAAACAAGAACCAGAGAAACCUUUUAAAGACGAAAAAGAACCAACAACACUGUCUAGAAAGGAAGAAAAAGAAUCAAAGAAGCUCUUUAGAGAACAAGACCAAGAGAAACCUUCCAAAGAAAAGAAAGAGAUCAAGAUUAUUCUCAAAGAAGAAAAGGAACCAAAGAAGAUCUCUAAGGAAGACACGGAACAAACAAAGCCCUCUAAAGAGAAAGAAAUAAAGAGGGCUCAUAAAGACAAAGAACCUGUCAAGAAGAGAGAUACUAAGACAGACUCUGGACCCAAAAAGGCUGUAAGGAGGAUUAAAGUAGUCAAGAUGGAGGUUGCUUCUGUCCUGAAGAAGGAACAUCUUAAUGUUACAAAAGCAGCUGAUGAACCUAAGAAGGCCGUAAAGAGGUUGACAGCUGCGAAAAAGAUAGUUCCUGUCCUGAAAAAGGAAAACUUGAACAUUACAAAAACAGAGCUUCCUGAGGUUCCUAAGGUGAAAGCCAAACCAGAACCUGCAAAGAAAUUUGCAGCUCCAAAGGAGACCAAGAAGGAACCAAAGGAAAAACUCAAAUCUGUACCUGUUAAACCAGAGCUUCCUGAGGUUCUUAAGGUGAAAGCCAAACCAGAACCUGCAAAGAAAGGUAAGAGCAUGCUUUUAUACUUUUGUGUUAAAUAUCAACUAAAAGUCGACUCAAUCUGAUGAGUCUUUUUCCAAUCUUUAUUCAGACCAAUCAUGAAAGAAAAUAUACUUAGACUUUAUGCAUACAUUUUGUUUGCUGACACUAACUUGAUAGAUUUAUUCAAAGAAAGCUUCACAUAAUAAACACUGAUCUUUUUAUAAGCCUAAAACUUAAGGGCUUUUUUGUGUCACAAUUUUCCACCAGUUGCAGCUCCAAAGGAGACCAAGAAGGAACCAAAGGAAAAACUCAAAUCUGUACCUGUUAAACCAGGUAAUGCUACAGGUGCUGACUCACUCAGAGAGGAAUGUAGAAAGUGUUGCUGCAACACUGGAAAUACUUAAAUCUACUACUUCAUACCCAUCUAUAUCAAUGCGGGUAGAACAGAAUCUUUUCACACACUGAUCGCAGGAAUGCAAUGUACCAACAUGAUCAGUUUACAAUGCAGAUGUUUUUGAUGACUUUAUAUUUUAAAGGCAAAGCUCCACUAACUCUGUGUCCUAUUUUGUGAAACAGAAGUCCCAAAGGAAAAGGCCAAAGCAGCUGCCACUAAGAAAGGUAAUACACACAUUAAUGUUUCCAUUAUGAAUGAGAAAAAAUGUAUAAUUCAAAAUCAAAAUUUGUAAAAUUUUCAAAUUCUUCAACAUUUUCAAAAAAAAUGUUUUUUAUUUAUUUAUUUAUUUAUUUUUAUUUACAAAAUGUUCUAAAUGUACA
RNAcentral lists this long non-coding RNA (4479 nucleotides) under Cottoperca gobio. RNAcentral's name for it is "lncRNA (ENSCGOG00000024646.1)". The record is from RNAcentral. Lineage: Eukaryota; Metazoa; Chordata; Actinopteri; Perciformes; Bovichtidae.